AGUCCAGAGUUGUCCGUCGUAAAUAGAAGUAGCGUGUCGGUUGAUCGUAGGGUAAUAGGUCCGAUAUCUCGGGGUAAGAUGGUAUAAGGGUAGUUUAAGUGCGUGUUUAGCGUCACCAACUCCCCACUGGCUUUUACAUGGGACACUAAGGGCCACUAAGGGCUAGUAUCAUGCUAGUGAAAAGAGACCAUUCUGUGCCUGUUUUCUCAAAUCUACGUCAAUGAAACGUGUAUGAGUUCUUCAAUUUAUUUUGAAAAAAUUUGUAUGAUCUAAGAAAUAACGAGCUACACUCUCGAAGGUGAUUCGAAGGAUAUAAAAAAUAGGAUAAAAGAAAA
Molecule: long non-coding RNA, 335 nt
Organism: Polistes canadensis
Lineage: Eukaryota; Metazoa; Arthropoda; Insecta; Hymenoptera; Vespidae
Exons: 2
Source: RefSeq, a predicted model, not a curated record